ACGGCGAGUGAAGCGGUAAAAGCUCAAAUUUGAAAUCUGGUACUUUCAGUGCCCGAGUUGUAAUUUGUAGAAUUUGUCUUUGAUUUGGUCCUUGUUUAUGUUCCUUGGAACAGGACGUCAUAGAGGGUGAGAAUCCCGUGUGGCGAGGAUACCAUUUCUUUGUAAGACUUUUUCGAAGAGUCGAGUUGUUUGGGAAUGCAGCUCUAAGUGGGUGGUAAAUUCCAUCUAAAGCUAAAUAUUGGCGAGAGACCGAUAGCGAACAAGUACAGUGAUGGAAAGAUGAAAAGAACUUUGAAAAGAGAGUGAAAAAGUACGUGAAAUUGUUGAAAGGGAAGGGCAUUUGAUCAGACAUGGUGUUUUUUGCAUGCACUCGCCUCUCGUGGGCUUGGGCCUCUCAAAAAUUUCACUGGGCCAACAUCAAUUUUGGCGGCAGGAUAAAUCAUUAGGAACGUAGCUUCUUCGGGAGUAUUAUAGCCUAUUGGAAUACUGUCAGCUGGGAUUGAGGACUGCGCUUUUGCAAGGAUGUUGGCAUAAUGGUUAAAUGCCGCCCGUCUUGAAACACGGACCAAGGAGUCUAACGUCUAUGCGAGUGUUUGGGUGUAAAACCCGUACGCGUAAUGAAAGUGAACGUAGGUUGGGGCCUUCGGGUGCACAAUCGACCGACCUUGAUGUAUUCGGAUAGGUUUGAGUAAGAGCAUAGCUGUUGGGACCCGAAAGAUGGUGAACUAUGCCUGAAUAGGGUGAAGCCAGAGGAAACUCUGGUGGAGGCUCGUAGCGGUUCUGACGUGCAAAUCGAUCGUCGAAUUUGGGUAUAGGGGC
RNAcentral lists this ribosomal RNA (819 nucleotides) under Hanseniaspora mollemarum. RNAcentral describes it as "Hanseniaspora sp. MG-2018 partial 26S ribosomal RNA". It matches the Rfam family "Eukaryotic large subunit ribosomal RNA", at positions 86 to 924 of the family's 3401-position model. Lineage: Eukaryota; Fungi; Ascomycota; Saccharomycetes; Saccharomycodales; Saccharomycodaceae. The record is from RNAcentral.